UAUUAUACUAAAAAAUUUAUAAAAACUAAAAUAUUAUAAGAUAAAAUCUUUAAAUUUAAAGAAUUUGGCGGUAAUUUAGUCUUUCCAGAGGAACCUGUUUUGUAAUCGAUAAACCACGAAGAAUCUUACUUAUUUAUGUUUAAGUUAUAAGUUUGUAUACCGUCAUUAUUAGAUAAUGUUUAGAGAAAAUUAUUGAAUUUUAAAUAAUAAAAUAAAUUAGAUCAAGGUGCAGCCUAUAAAUAAGUUAAAAUGGGUUACAAUUAAGUUAAUGUAAUAUGAAAUAAAUUUUGAAAUGGAUUUAGGAAGGAGGAUUUGGUUGUAAUAGGAAUUAAUAAGGUAAAAAGAUAUAAGCUCUAAAUUAU
Molecule: ribosomal RNA, 362 nt
Filed under: Stenocionops ovatus
Lineage: Eukaryota; Metazoa; Arthropoda; Malacostraca; Decapoda; Majidae
Description: partial 12S ribosomal RNA
Source: RNAcentral